RNAcentral lists this ribosomal RNA (497 nucleotides) under uncultured bacterium. Its description in RNAcentral is "partial 16S ribosomal RNA". It matches the Rfam family "Bacterial small subunit ribosomal RNA", at positions 28 to 507 of the family's 1533-position model. The record is from RNAcentral.
GAUGAACGCUGGCGGCGUGCCUAAUACAUGCAAGUCGAGCGAACGGACGAGAAGCUUGCUUCUCUGAUGUUAGCGGCGGACGGGUGAGUAACACGUGGAUAACCUACCUAUAAGACUGGGAUAACUUCGGGAAACCGUAGCUAAUACCGGAUAAUAUUUUGAACCGCAUGGUUCAAAAGUGAAAGACGGUCUUGCUGUCACUUAUAGCUGGAUCCGCGCUGCAUUAGCUAGUUGGUAAGGUAACGGCUUACCAAGGCAACGAUGCAUAGCCGACCUGAGAGGGUGAUCGGCCACACUGGAACUGAGACACGGUCCAGACUCCUACGGGAGGCAGCAGUAGGGAAUCUUCCGCAAUGGGCGAAAGCCUGACGGAGCAACGCCGCGUGAGUGAUGAAGGUCUUCGGAUCGUAAAGCUCUGUUAUUAGGGAAGAACAUAUGUGUAAGUAACUGUGCACAUCUUGACGGUACCUAAUCAGAAAGCCACGGCUAACUACGUG